ACCCUAGAUCUUCCUUUCUUCAUUUUAUCGCAAUCUCAUCCUCUCUCACUAUCUCGCUCUGUCUCGUUUGAGUCUCCGACCACUGUUAAUUACAUCUUACAGUCUCUUCCUUCCCUCAUCUCGUCUCCGUUUCUUCCUCUAUCACUAUCUCUCCCUCUCUCUAUUUGAGUUCCUCCUCUGCGAAUUCGCCACCGUGUCUGGACCUGUUUUCAUGUUCGAGGGGAGGCCCUCCGACUCACUGGAGCUCGACGGCACGCCGUUAAUCCGUCUCCUCUACUUUUGUAUAACCCGGAUCUGUACUUAAUUGACGGAAGAGACAAGUCUGGUGCGAGACAGCCUUCGCGGUUCCUCUGGUAUUAUUCCCCUCUUGAAUUUGAAGUCCUUCUUGGCUAGUGACUAUGGUGGAUGGGUGCGAUUUCUAGGGUUCGGUGGAGAUGAUUGGGGGUGGAUGAGGGCUCGAAGGAUGAUUAUCUGAUGAUUUCGUGGUUGUGGACAGGGGAGUUAUGGAUGGACGAGGUGUGAAAAGAGGAGUUAUGGAUGGAUGAGGUAAGAAAGGAGUUGUGGACAGGAGAUUUGUGUAUGUGAGAUAUAGCAGAAAAGAGGAGUUGGGGUUGAUACAGACUCCUCUAUACUCUACGAGAUGAAGGAAUGCAUUUUAAAGGGGAAACCAUGCACAUUGCAAAUAUUAAAUUACAGUAACAGAAAAGAUAAGAACACGUUCUGGAAUCUUCUUCACAUAGCCAGUUCGUCAUGCUUCAGGCAAGACAGCAUAUUUUGUAGGGGUUCAGAUGGAAGCAAGUUGCACAGAUACCUAAAGUAAAGAUCUGAGGCCGGAGACAAGGAAACUGAUGGUUGGUGCAAUUAGAGUUGCGGUCAGAAGCUCUUUCAUGGUAACUUGUUGAUGGUUACAUACGCCACGAACAACAUGUAUUUUAGAGAGUACACGGAGUGAAUUCAACGUAGCAUCUCUAUAAAUCAUUUUGUACAUGAACACAAAGUGUAUAUUGAGAUAAUUAAAACUUUGUCCUUUUCUA
Long non-coding RNA from Raphanus sativus (radish), 1034 nucleotides. RefSeq lists it as uncharacterized. The transcript is spliced from 4 exons. NCBI's taxonomy places the organism in Eukaryota, Viridiplantae, Streptophyta, Magnoliopsida, Brassicales, Brassicaceae. The record is from RefSeq and is a predicted model, not a curated record.